AACCAGAGCUACUAGGCUAGUCAAGACAAGGCUAAUUAAGAAUUUAAAGUACCUAUCCGUAAAUAAUGGAGUUCUCUAGACCGAGGCGCUAAGGAUGAAAAGAAAAAAGGCUCGGUCGUAGUCGUUGGAACGAACUCGGUAACAAUGACCAGUCAUUAGUUAAGCUGGCUUGGCUUACGCUUCCUUCCCUCGAGGACAAAGACCCUCUCCCUGACAGUAGGGGUAGCGCCAUAGACUCUCUCUUUGGCUUAGAGGUCGCUUCAACGGCUGAGCUGCUUAGGCUUGGUGUACCAGGAAAAUGCAUUAUAUAGUGCAGCAUCUUUCUUUCAGACUGCUUUACUUAGGAUGGAGUCCUUGCUUAGCCGAGCUGGAAGCUAUACUCUAGGCGGGCUGAUAAUCCUCUUCUUUUUAUUCCGGGAAUGAGCUGUUGUAAGGCCUUGUCUUUUUCGAAACCUAAAAAAAGAAAGAUGCACUUUUUUUCUGGAAUAGGUGAAUCCAUGCUUCUUUAUUUCCUUCCCGAGUUGAGAACAGAGGACAAUCCCACCCUAGCUAUUGGACUUUGAUCCUUAUCGACUUUGACCGAAAGAGCAAUUCUUUUCCUGAGACUGGGAAGCGUAAGGCCGGAAAGAAAGUCUUGUACGAGGUUCAGUUCAGGCAUAGCUACUGGAAAAGAAGUCAUGCCUCAUUCUUAUUUAUGUAGAUGGGCAAUCAAUCACCAAUGGCUGAAAUGAGAAAGAAAGGGCUUCGCUAUUAAUCCGUAACGACGUACCGACUGGCUCUCCGAUAGACUCGUAGAUAGAAUGGCCUUUCAUCGACCCCUUUCUACUCACCCAGGAACCGAGGAGACAAAGAAAGAUAGAAGAAGAAUUCUUAAUUUUUUCGCCCGAGGGUUCCUUUAGAGAAGAACCACGCUAAAUAGA
Molecule: long non-coding RNA, 920 nt
Filed under: Trifolium pratense (red clover)
Lineage: Eukaryota; Viridiplantae; Streptophyta; Magnoliopsida; Fabales; Fabaceae
Description: long non-coding RNA (TPRA_LNC007884)
Source: RNAcentral